CAGAGGAGAAAAGCAACCGUAGCUUUUACGACCCAGAAAAAAGCAAGUGAGAGAGAGUAAAGAGUAAAGAUUUGAAGCUUAGGAAAUUGCGUGGUUAGCAACAUGAACCCCAUUCUUCCCACCCCCCAACCCCACCCCUACCCCUCCAAAAGAACACCUCCAAUUCUGCCUUUAUAUGUGUUGUAAGGAGAUGGUAAAGUAGACUUGGAUGCAAAACCAACCCCAGAAAAACUUCUUUGCUUUUUGUCUUUCGAAGAAAAGAAAAAGGGCAACCCUACAAAUUAAGAACAACAAGAACACUUCUUUCUUGAUUUCUUCACAGCCCUUCUUUUUCUGUUUGAUUAUUUUGCUGUUUUGUGCUUAUAAACAGCUUGUUUUCAUCAUUCCUAUCGUUGUCUAUCCUUCUACUUGAAUGAAUUAAUUUAUGAAAACAGAAAGAGAGUAUAUAGAAGAAACAUCCAUAGCUUUUGGUCUUAUGGUCGUGUAAAUAUGUUUUGCCGGUGGGGCUAAAAGAUCCAGCUGAUUAGGACCCCAGUUUGAUCAACCCAAAUCUCUCUUUUCUCUCCUAAAAUAUAAACCAUCUUAGCUUGCCUCGAUCUUCUUUGUAUCUCAAUCUCUAUUUCCUUUUUCUUACUUCUUAGCUAAAAUUCUUUGGAUAUCUUGUUGAUUCUUGUUGACAAUGAUCACGGGCAGAUAAUUUUUCAGUUCAGCCAUGCUUUCUUUCUUUUACUUAGAUAAUUAUUCGGGCUGUUUUACAAGUUACUACCAGUUAUAUAAGAAGUUUAAACGUAAGUUCUAUGUUAUAUGUAGGUUACAUACAUGUGAUCUGCAUAUGCCUGGCUCCCUGUAUGCCAUUUGCAGAGCUCAUCGGAAUACCGUUGGGUCCCCGUGAAUGGCGUAUGAGGAGCCAAGCAUAUCCCCGAUAUAUAUAUAUAUAUAUGGUAAUCUAACUACCUAAUUCUAACAUCUGUUUUGUUUCUUCUUUCUCUUUUUGUUGAGAAAGAGCUGGCUUUUUGUGGGUAAGAUAUUGAAGGUGAAGCAUUGGAAAGGGUACUUAACUUUAUCUACACACUUCAAUUCCAACAGGUCAACAUUUUGACCAAAUAAAGCAAGAGGCCUUCUUGGAAGAAAUGAAAGGAAACAAGAAUUUGGGACCACCUUUUUCCUGUGAGAUAUCUCCUGAAACCAAUUGGCUUUGCUUGAUUCAAAUCAAUUUCAAUUUCCAAACACCCCUUUAACCUUCUCUCCUUUUACCCCUCCCCCCCCCCCCCCCCCCCAAACAAUCUCACCAACCAAACCCUAAAGCUUGCCUUUUCUCCCUAACCAAACUCUUAUAUGUCUAGAGAACAUUCUCCUCGAUGACCUGAAAAGUAAGGAGAAAUAAACAAAGAAAAAUAGGUAAAAAGGAAUGAGAAGAGAAUAUCCCUUUUUCCAUUUUUAAAAAGAAAUGUUUCUUUGCAAAAUCUACUUUAAAUUAGAUUCUAUUCGACGACUUUAAUAAAGUAAACGUAUCUUCCUCUUAUUAACUUUUACCUCAAUUUCUGAUGUACAUAUAUUUUACAGUAAUGGAGCAGAAACUUUCAUUUGAUUGCCAUCGCAUGGCUGUUUGUACAUAAACAUCCUUUCUGACUCAAUAUUCUCACUAUUUUUGCGCCAGACAAAAUAUGUUUCCUAAUUCUUGGCUUUCA
This is a non-coding RNA of Nicotiana tabacum (common tobacco), 1688 nucleotides long. NCBI's taxonomy places the organism in Eukaryota, Viridiplantae, Streptophyta, Magnoliopsida, Solanales, Solanaceae. The record is from RefSeq and is a predicted model, not a curated record.